GCUAACCAGACAAACCUUGACCUCUCCUUCGUCUGAGCAUAAGCUUUUUUCUCCUGGGCUUUUCCAGUCCAGAGCCAAUGAUUCCCACACCACUCUCCGGCUCUUCUUCUCUUUGUAAUCUGCUCCGUCUGCCCGUCCUGUAUGAUGUCAGCACCUGCAGAAACUCCUAACGCAGGUGUCCCAGCAUUCCAUGAGAUGGCAUUAUUUUCAUGGUUUCUUAUAAUCCAAAUACCAGCCAUAAAUACCAUUUGUCUCUGGAGUUGCAGGAAAAUUAUGUCACAAUGAUGCUGAUUGGCCAAUGACACCACAAGAACACUCACAGAGUUCCCUUGACGACAAUUCUGAGCUAUGACAUCAAAGGUUUUGUGAGGCCAGACUGUGGUCACCACGCAGCUGGAUUGUGCCUGAGAACUGAGAUUCACUGGAGAUUUCAUAAAAAUAUAUUCUGUUCCUAAUUUAUCUCUUCUGAGCACAUCUGACUCACAUAAAGCAUUAAACUAAACCAAAGGUUUUGCUCUCAUCAUAAAUGCCAAUUCAAGUCAUUGUUUUCAACUUUUUGAGUAUAGCAUACCAGUUAAAGAUAGAUAGACUGACAGACAGACAGACAGACAGACUGAUUGACUGACUGAUUGAUUGAUUGAUUGAUUGAUUUGACAUUAACAUUCGCCAACCCGCCAAAUGCGGGUUGAUUUCAGCAGUGGCGUGUAAUGCAGUCACUUUUUGGAGGGUUGAAUUUUAUUAAAUAACAUAAUUUUUUUUUUCAGUUGGUCUUUUAAAAAGGCAUCUGAAAUAAUAAACUUAAGUGCAAUGUAAUGUUGUCAAAAAUAGAUCUUUUCUAAAAAUAGAUACUCAUUUCCUGCAGAUUAAUUACACCAUACCAGCUGCGCUUUCUCGCUCUCUCAUCUCUCCGACACUGAGUUGACACAAACCAGAAGCGCCGUUGUGUCCUGUGGGCCAAGGCUCAUUUAAAAUGGACUCUUUCAAAGUGGAAAAGUGUUCUAUGUUCAGAUGAGUCCAAAUUUGACAUUCUUGUUGGAAAUCACGGACUCCAUGUCCUCCAGGCUAAAGAAGAAGCAGACCUUCCAUCGUGUUAUCAGCUUUCAGUUCAAAAGCCAGCAUCUCUGAUGGUAUGGGGGUGCAUAAGUGCAUACGGUAUGGGCAGCUUGCAUGUUUUGGAAGGCACUAUGAAUGCUGAAAGGUAUAUAAAGGUUUUAGAGCAACAUAUGCUCUCUUCCAGAUGACGUCUUUUUCAGGGAAAGCCUUGUGUAUUUCAGCAGGACAAUGCAAAACCAUAUACUGCAGCUAUUACAACAGCAUGGCUUCGUCGUAGAAGAGUCCGGGUGCUGAAUUGCCUGCAGUCCAGAUCUUUCACCUAUAGAGAACGUUUGGCGCAUCGUUAAACCACGAACUCUUCAGCAGCUGGAAACCUAUAUCAGGCAAGAAUGGGACCAAAUUCUGACACCAAAACUCCAGAAACUCAUAACCUCGAUGCCCAGACGUCUUCAAACUGUUUUGAAAAGAAGAGGAGAAGCUACACCAUGUGUGAAGCUGUUCAACCAUCUUGUGAAAACUUUGAAUCUAAAAUACAUCCAGGUGUGAAGGGAUGAUGUGAACUGCAGACGAGAGUCCCUUCGCAUGUCCCAUUCACAUCUGCAUGACUGGAAAUAUGUAAUCAACUGCUUCGAUAAACUCCAGUUACCCCCUGCGCCCACCACGCGGACCCAGCGUGCACAAACACACGGUUUUGUGCAGUAAUUGAAUCACGUGUGUUGGGACAGCUGGUUGGUAAGGCAAUAGUGAGACACUUAUUGAUGUCAGAGGUUCUGAUACACACCAGCAGGCACCCAGAACGUGGCUCAACAACACUGUUUAACCUCAUUUCACCUGUGAUCACGUUUAUGAUCAGUUUUUCCGUGGCUGAUUUAAUCGGUAUACGCGACCUUAAGAUCUCUAAAUGUUUUUGAAAGAAACCUCUUUUGCUCACCAAGGCUGCUUUGAUUUGAUUAAAAAGUAAAAACAGUAAUUUUGUGAAAUAAAUAUUAUUACAAUUUAAAAUGAUUAUUUUCUAUUUGAAAAUAUUUCAAAAUGUAAUUGAUGGCAAAGCUGAAUUUUCAGCAUCAUUACUCCAGUCUUCAGUGUCACAUGAUCCUUCAGAAAUCAUUCUAAUAUGCUGAUUUGGUGAAACAUUUCUUAUUAUUAUCAGUGUUGAAAACAGUUGUGCUGCUUAAUAUUUUUUGAGGAAACUGUGAUGCAUUAUUUUCAGGAUUCUUUGAUGAAUAGGUUAACACUGAUCACCAUAACGGUGAUGUCAACAACCUUUGUACAUGUACCAAAAAAUAAAGCCAAACUGGUUUGUAAUAAGUGAAUUUGACUUGUUUAAUCAUCCUCUGGUGAGAUACUGAUUUUAUUUGCAGAUGAUUUCAUCUAAGGCUGUGUGGCUGUAAGUCAGUUGUUGUAGUUUUGGUGUUUCUGCUCAUCUCCUCUUUUUUUUGUGUUCUUGUUGUUCCUCUUAUCUUCAGUGAUUAUGCUUGUUAACAGCAGGUGUUCAUCACUAAUGCUCAAUAAUCACUUUGUAGAGUGAAUCUACUUUAUUUCACUAACUGCAACGUUGCUUCAGUGUUACUUUUACUCUCUAUAGAUUGGGACCAUAU
This is a long non-coding RNA of Ctenopharyngodon idella (grass carp), 2651 nucleotides long. RefSeq lists it as uncharacterized. The transcript is spliced from 6 exons. The record is from RefSeq and is a predicted model, not a curated record. Lineage: Eukaryota; Metazoa; Chordata; Actinopteri; Cypriniformes; Xenocyprididae.